Molecule: long non-coding RNA, 4272 nt
Organism: Carassius gibelio (silver crucian carp)
Lineage: Eukaryota; Metazoa; Chordata; Actinopteri; Cypriniformes; Cyprinidae
Exons: 2
Source: RefSeq, a predicted model, not a curated record
UUUCUGUAACAGAGAUCUUUUUAAAGUCUUGGACCACUUUAAUUAAUAUUAUUAUAAUUUUUUUGUGCCAUUUCAGAUAUGAGUCAUAUGUGUUUUGAUGACAGGAAGAUGUAAUGAUGGAAUUCUCAUUCUUUUUUUAAAAAACCCACAUAAAUGUUAAGAGACAUCCUUGAUUUUCCCAGGGAGUUAAUCUGAAGGAGCCCCUGAAGGCAUGUUAAUACCAUGACAGAUCUCGACAACACAAGGAAGCAGUCUGCCCUCCUGAGUCAGAAGCAAUCCUCUUAUAGGUCUUUUAAUCUGGCCUGUGACCCACACCCCCUCACCACUUUAAUGCAUUUGUACGUGUGCCCUCCCGUCCCACCCACCAGUUACUCCCCAUUCUGGGACUGCACGGAGGUCCAUACUGUGCGUAUGUCGACUAAGUUAGACAUUCACACAUCAUUUAUUCAGGCUAGCUCCGUAGUGGAUUAUUUCUCUCGGGUGUGUGGCCUAGACAGACGGCCAAAAUGAUCCGUCAAACACAUCGUCCAUUGUAUGCAGCCGCACAGCGUAUGUCUCAGAAAAAGGGACGCGCUCUGAAUCAACCUAAAUCUGAAACCUUUACUCAUCCCUGUGAUCUUGUUCACAAAGUGCAUUACUUUGUGUUCCUCCAAUGUAAAUAUCACGUUGGAUCGUUCCAGAGGAAUCGAGAGCCUGUUGAUUUUGGCCCCGUGUCUGUGCAGCUCUGUGCUUGUUGUGAUAGCUCUGAUGCCAUGAGAAUUUUACAAUGGCUCUGCUGUUUGUCUUCGCUGCUCCGUCUCCCUAAAGCUGAUGACCCCGCAAUGGCUAGAUAGACUGCUUUAAUCCAGAAAAGCUCACGUAUUUGAUGGUUGGCAGCAGAGAAGGCUCUUGCUUUCCUAGAGAAUGCAAUUGUCUCCUCGGAAUGGACUGGCCUUAUUCGCUGCUGUUAAGGUCCAUAGUUCACGCUGUAGAACAGUGGCUAUUGUAGAAAGGUCACUGUGGUGCACGCUCACUCACGCCAGGCACUACAGCCUGACAAAAGCUUCUUUGAUUGAGUUUUAGUGGUGAGCUAGGUAAUCUAAGAGGCUUCAGACCCUCUCUGAAGAGGUCAGGGUUUAUCUUCUUUCGUGGAAAAUCAAGAAGGAAAAAUAUUUUAAUCUAUUCGCGGCUAAGGAGGCAUUGAUGAGCUGCAUGGUCUUGUUAUUGGAAACUCUCAUCUAGAUAUGACAAUUUACUCUGAAUUUGGAUUCUGAAUAAAUGUAGAAAGAACAUUAGUGGUGAAUGGGGCAUUGAUGGUGGUUACUAGAAUUACUGAGCAAAGUAGAAAAAUGUCCUGCUCAAGUCUCUGAUUCUUGUAUAUACGUAUAUGGAGUUGUAAGCUGGAUUGUUUAAAAAAGUCAUGUGAUCUGUCAUCAUUUAUGCCCCUAAUAGAAAUCGUACCGAAGUAAUGUAAUAUGACAGAACAUAUCAAGAAGAUAUGCUAACUUUAUUAAAAAGCAGUGUUAAAUGUAUUCAUUCUAUAUCCAUAUUCUCUUCCUCUGGGCCUAUGUGUGUGUGUGUGUGUGUGCAUAUAAUAAACCACAUCUCUUUAGCAGACUCACCCUUCUCUCUGGGUUCUGCUGAACCUGUUGCACCUUGGUUCCCCACUGCUGUGCUGACAGCCUCCUUGCCUCUUUGAAUCUCCCCAGCCGUUUUCUGUAACCCUGACCUCUCUUAGGGAGUUUAUGGCCAUUUUAGUGUCCAAUAUGUUUCCAUUCCUUGGAUGAACAACUUCCUUCCAAUCCCCUUGGCUCUUGGCUCCCUCCUCUCAUUUUGUCUCCUCUGCUAUGCCUCUUGACUCAUGGUCCAUCCCCCCCGAUCAAAUCUCUGCUCACAGGUUAACUGUGAGCAUUAAAUAAGGUGAACAUUAAAUAUUGAUUUGAGUUAAUAGAAUAGUUUUUUUUUUUUAUCUUAAUUAAAAAUAAAUCUGAAUUCCAAGAUUCAAAGAAAGGUUUUUCAUUGUUCCACGCCUCUGAUUUCUGAGUUUGCAUCUCAAACUAUUUUUUUUUUUUUUUUUUUUUUACUAGAUUUUUUUUCUGCCGGAAAAACAAAAAAGGCAAUUUUAACUUUUUAUCUCAUAAUUUGGACUUCAUUGUGUCGGAACUGUAAGAUAUAAACUUAGAUCACUGUGUAAUAAUAGGAACAAUAGGUUCAUACUGAGGGUUUGCACUCAUUCAACUCCUUUUUAUUGUUUCACAUCCUUUCUGUAUCUGUUCAAAAAUUCAUAUUUUGUUUCAUUCAGCUGCUAUCUUACAAGCACUCAUUUUGAGUGUAGCAUUGAUUGAAUGUUUGCAAAGCUGUUCUGUAUCCUAUACUCUACAAGCAGUAUUUCUGUUGCACUGCAAGUGAUUUGUAUUAUAAUGAUAGGAUUCCCAAUUGCCCUGAGAUAUGAAACUUUGAAGAGUUUUGGCACGUCAGCCAGCCUUGUGUUACUGAGUAUGAGAGCUUUUGCACAUAACCUCCAGGUGGAUGGGACUCUUUGAUUUGUUCAGAAUGGUAAAUGAAGUGCAUCAACGAUUCAGAUUACAGAUGUCCAAUCAGAAAGCAAGUGUUGCCUUUGUGGGCGCUUGCACGAUUUAGUUCAAUAGAGAGACAAAACAGUGUCUCUAUUGUAUUACAGCUUCAUGCGGCACGAUAUAAUCGCCCACAAUUCCUGUCCACUCACUCUCCUGCUGUCAUGCCAUUCAAGUGGGAGAAAUUAAUUGUUGUAAACUCUUUAAUUAAAUCUUUCUGUUUCAGCCUUUCUAUUCAUUUCCUCGUUUCUCUCAGGAUUUGUGUCAAAUGUUGUCCUGACACAGAUUUUCUUAUGACAGUGGCCUAUUUAUUGCCUUUAAUUGAUGAACAAAGAUGCGAUAUACAGAUACAGUUUCACUGAACGUGGAAUUUUUAAUUGUUGCUCUUGAAAAGUACUCCGACGUUCUCUGGAAGCUCAGCUCAUGGGUACAACAUCAUAGGGUGCUUUUGGAGGGGACUAUGUUUAGACCAGUGAUUCUUAAACCACAAGAUGAUAAUUAUUUAAAAGAAAAUGUAUUGAAAUGCUAAAAUUACAAUGCCAAAUAAGCUAGAAGUUAAAUAAGUUAAUAGCAUCAAUAAAACAUGUAUUUUGUUUUAACAAAGGAACAGUGCUUUAAAGCAUUCAUUUCAUUUUUUGUUAUUCAUGGCUAUUCAGUUUUAUUUUACAGUUCUAGUUUCUUAUAAUGGGGGCUUUUGAUCAUUGACUUUGAGAACCACUGAUGUAGUAAUACCAUUCUUGAUGUAAUACUGAAAUGUAGUUUAAUGAAACAUUGUGGUUAGGUGCAGUACUUACGAUUUAUUCAAAUUGAAUGUAAUUAGAUUGCAAAUGCACGUAAAGAGAAAAUUCAGUCCCUUGGUACACUUAGUCUUUCAGCAGCUGUGGUGUUGCUUGUAUUUCCAAUGUUUCAGUGUCAGCACUACUGAUAUUGACUUUUAAUAGCUAGCGUCUGUCUAAGAGGGGUCAAAGUCAACAUCACACUGACUGUUUGGACGGAAAGGUUUUUUAAGCCCGACACCUCUUUUAUGCAACAUUACCAACUCUCUUGCUCUCUAACUGUCUUCCUCUUGUCCUCUUACAAAAAUACUGGAAAACCAAAUAAUAGCAUAUUAUUAAUAAUGACCCAUGAGUGACUCUGAAACCACUUACAAUCCAAUACAACUGUUCUAUAUUAAUUUUUAUGUUGUUUUGGUUUUACAGAAAUAGAAGAGAAGAAAAUGAACUUCGUAUGACAUAAUACUGACUUCCAGACCAAACCAUUUGGAUUUGAUACAAGCCCUCAGUGUUAUUCUCCAGGAGGACACUGGGAUGCCAAGAAGUGAAGGACAGACUGAAGCCGCAUUUAAUCUCUUAACUGUUGAUGUCACUCACAACAUGAUCCAGUCUUGGACAAAAAGACCCUGCCUGCGCCUUUAGGAAAAGUGAACCUGCGACCUCCAGGUGUCAGGCAUGCCAGUCUGUGGAGUAAAGAGCUGUUCAUUAGUUGAAUUGCCAUUUGAUGCCCAAGUGUCUACCACAACAUCCUACAGUAACUGACAAACUAUGUCUUUACAUACACCCUUUCUCUCUCAAAAUCUGUUCUUUUUCGAGUCCAAGUAUUAUUCUGAAAGACUUUGUUCCAGUCCAGAUUUGAUGAAUGUUAAACAUGAUAUCAUACUUUGUGCACCAACUGUUUUAGGAAAAACAAUGCUUUUUAUUAAAGUCACAUUCAUUUUCCUGCA